Molecule: long non-coding RNA, 363 nt
Organism: Oncorhynchus masou masou (cherry salmon)
Lineage: Eukaryota; Metazoa; Chordata; Actinopteri; Salmoniformes; Salmonidae
Exons: 3
Source: RefSeq, a predicted model, not a curated record
UUGAGGUAGAUAUGUACAUGAAGCCAGGGUAAAGUGACUAGGCAUCAGGAUAGAUAAUAAUAAGGUAUUUGAGGUAGAUAUGUACAUGAAGCCAGGGUAAAGUGACUAGGCAUCAGGAUAGAUAAUAAUAAGGUAUUUGAGGUAGAUAUGUACAUGAAGCCAGGGUAAAGUGACUAGGCAUCAGGAUAGAUAAUAAUAAGGUAUUUGAGGUAGAUAUGUACAUGAAGCCAGGGUAAAGUGACUAGGCAUCAGGAUAGAUAAUAAUAAGGUAUUUGAGGUAGAUAUGUACAUGAAGCCAGGGUAAAGUGACUAGGCAUCAGGAUAGAUAAUAAUAAGGUAUUUGAGGUAGAUAUGUACAUGAAG